CCCUGAUGCACAAGGUACUUAUUUAAAUACUUUUUUAUUUUUAAAUUUGUCAAAAUUUUCAACUCUCCCUCACAGUUCAAAUAAUUUUAAUAAUCUAUAACCAAUACACUCACCAUAAUCCUUUUUAAAAAACGAAAAAUAUUAAAUUUUUUAAAAAUUUUUUU
This 164-nucleotide ribosomal RNA is filed under the name Ixodes dampfi. RNAcentral's name for it is "partial 16S ribosomal RNA". Lineage: Eukaryota; Metazoa; Arthropoda; Arachnida; Ixodida; Ixodidae. The record is from RNAcentral.